This is a long non-coding RNA of Phragmites australis (common reed), 1300 nucleotides long. RefSeq lists it as uncharacterized. The transcript is spliced from 3 exons. NCBI's taxonomy places the organism in Eukaryota, Viridiplantae, Streptophyta, Magnoliopsida, Poales, Poaceae. The record is from RefSeq and is a predicted model, not a curated record.
UGACCAUGCCGUCUCCCAUGCGCCUGUCUUCCUCAUCCUUAUCUCCUCUGUGUCUUGGCUCAUCCCCUCACGCUCGUGCAUACAAGCAGCAACAGCAGAAGCUCCCUCUCUGCUCCUUUUCCAUUCACAGCGGCACUUCAUCUCCCUCCCGAGCAGCUCUUCCUCACUGCUCUCUCAGUUCUAUCUCCUCCCUCCUGUUGUUUGUUGCACUCUUCUCUCUCUCACUGCUCUCUCUCCUUGCGUGGUCUUCACUGAGAGCACAGCACAGAAGCAGCAGCUCAGCUCUUGCUCCCUUUCAAUCAUAGCUAGCAGCACACCAUCUCCCUCCCGAUGCGCUCCUCCCGCGCAUGUGCUUGCCUUGCUCAGCCUCUCUGUCGUCGAGCUGCUGUAUGGAGCACCCCUGGAGCCCCUCCGUCGUCUGCUGUCGCGCUCCAGCGAGCCUUGCCACGCCUGCCCUCCCUGCUGUUGUCCAAGUUGGCGGGCAUGUGCCAGGUCGAGCCCGAGAGCUGCCGUCCCAGGUGGAUGCCGCCGAGUUCCUGCUGGCUGCUGUGCCGUGUUCUUGCUGCUGCUGGCCGGGCUUCGCUACGCGUCGACAAGUUCUGGCCGCCCAGCUGCAUCGCGCUGAAGUCCCGCGACGCCACGCUGUCGUGUCGUCCUCCUGCGUCGCCGGCCUAGGCAACCAUGCAACCCGGAGCCACCCAGCGUGGUUCACCGUCGAACUACUUGCUGCCGACCAGCACCCACGCCAACGCCGCCAGGACCUUCUCUAGCUGCAACGAGCAACUCCGAUGCCGCUCAUCCCCAUGGCCUAAUCACUGCACCUGCACGCAGCCUCAUCUUUCUUAACCCUGUGAAAUAUUUUGUGUUCAUUGCUGUGGAUUUUCUUGGAUGGAUUUAUUUGCAUCUUUCGGUAUUUAUCGAUCAAGUAUUUGGCGUGUACGUAAGUGCGAUCAAUGAUGAAGGAUAGAGAUCAGAAAUAUCACAAAGAAAUAAUGCCAGGAAAUCAUGGAAGCGAUGAUAUCGGGUCUUUCUAGGAUUCAACUCCCAGUCGGUUGCCUGUGGGCGGGUUUGAGGCACACCCGCUGGAUAUUUGAAUCUAUUUCAUUGUAUUUUUCCGCUGCAUAUCCUUUUAUAUUGUAGACCAGUUGGUCAUAAUGUUGUAAAUUUAAUCCAAUUAAAUAUUUUCACCUUGUAAAAUGUAUGGAUGUGAUAUCACUGUUGUAACCGUGUGUACUUGCUACUGAUCAUGGGACAAGUACAGUGGAAACACGGAGUUUCGGGUAAUCUAAUUACCCGGGGC